This 587-nucleotide ribosomal RNA is filed under the name Pichia kudriavzevii. Its description in RNAcentral is "eukaryotic LSU rRNA". It matches the Rfam family "Eukaryotic large subunit ribosomal RNA", at positions 103 to 713 of the family's 3401-position model. Lineage: Eukaryota; Fungi; Ascomycota; Pichiomycetes; Pichiales; Pichiaceae. The record is from RNAcentral.
AAGAGCUCAGAUUUGAAAUCGUGCUUUGCGGCACGAGUUGUAGAUUGCAGGUUGGAGUCUGUGUGGAAGGCGGUGUCCAAGUCCCUUGGAACAGGGCGCCCAGGAGGGUGAGAGCCCCGUGGGAUGCCGGCGGAAGCAGUGAGGCCCUUCUGACGAGUCGAGUUGUUUGGGAAUGCAGCUCCAAGCGGGUGGUAAAUUCCAUCUAAGGCUAAAUACUGGCGAGAGACCGAUAGCGAACAAGUACUGUGAAGGAAAGAUGAAAAGCACUUUGAAAAGAGAGUGAAACAGCACGUGAAAUUGUUGAAAGGGAAGGGUAUUGCGCCCGACAUGGGGAUUGCGCACCGCUGCCUCUCGUGGGCGGCGCUCUGGGCUUUCCCUGGGCCAGCAUCGGUUCUUGCUGCAGGAGAAGGGGUUCUGGAACGUGGCUCUUCGGAGUGUUAUAGCCAGGGCCAGAUGCUGCGUGCGGGGACCGAGGACUGCGGCCGUGUAGGUCACGGAUGCUGGCAGAACGGCGCAACGCCGCCCGUCUUGAAACACGGACCAUGCAUAUCAAUAAGCGGAGGAAAAGCCGUCUUGAAACACGGACC